CUGAGCCAUCUCUCCAGCCCCUCUCUCCACUUCUUACCACUGACGGUACUGUUGCAGAGAAACCAUCUAACAGGCCUAAGAAGCUAUUUAAGAUGAAUCCAAAUACCAAGGAGGAAGUAAGGAUUUUAACGGUACAUCAUCGGCAAGUGAUGAGAGCAUGGACUACUUUUAUCAGGUCGCUUCGCCUUCAUGUGUGAGUAUGGCACUGAGGCAGCAUCUUGGAGUGGGCGGUACUCAGUGUGCAGUGGCCAUCUUCUUUGUGUGCUUGUGACAGCCAUCCUGGGGUCUUCCCUCACUAUGCCCAGGGGCAGUCCCUUCAACUCCCCCACAUAAAUCUCCUGGUUCAGCCACUAUGGAAAUCACCGUGGCAGCUCUUCAGGAAGUUGAGAAUUUCUCUACCUCAAGAACCAGCUGUAAUAUUCUGGGAUGUCCACCCACAGGCUCUCCAUCCUACCACAGAGAUGCUUACUUGUUCAUCCAUGUUCACAUCUGCGCUAUCCAUAGUAGCCAAAAGUUGGAAAUAGCCUAGAUGCCGCGCCUGCAGCAGAGAUAACCGAGCUCCAGGGCAGACAUGACUCCUGAGUGGGAGCCGGUUCGAGGGUUCGCACCACACGUGGUUAAGCCCCCUGCUUGCAUGCGGCGGACUCCAAGAAGAUGUGCACCUGGACUUGCCCCCUGCUGCAAACUUGGCUCUGGGCUGAUGGGCAUCUGGGUCAUGGGAAAGAUCGUUGUCAGCACUUAUUUCUUUAUUUUUUCUUUGUUUGAUUCUGAAUAUGAUCUUGGCAAGACAGAGACUUCCUUUAAUAAUAGGACAGAAGGUCGUGAUCUAUUUUUGAUCACUAAUACCACAAGCUUUCCUGCUUCCUCUUUAUAGCAGACAGAGCCUCUGAUGACAGGGACUCCAAGGUUGCAGAUUAUGUCUUCUCUUAUAGAUAAGGAAAUAUAAGAUUUAGCAAAGAAUUAUACUUAUAAGGAUAGUGAUGCUUCUUCUAUUAGGUGUUGGUAGAACUGUUGAGAAAUGAUUCCUUGAGCUUUGGGUCGGCUAUGAAUAUUUUACAGAGUAUAGAAACAGGUGGUGGCAACCAGGUACUUACAGGGGACCAUAUGUGCAUUGACCAACGGAUGCUCCAUUACCAUAUACUGGAGAAUAUGAUUUGAAUUUUGAUAGGUGGGUUACUAAGGAUGGAUAUAAGGUCAGGUAUUUGUCACUGCCUUGGUCAGAAAGAUUGGCAAGAGCCCGUCCUCCUUGGUGUGUGCUCUCAGAAGAAGAGAAAUGGGAGGUAAGGUCACAGAUCAUCAGAUACUUUAGACAGGGAUCAGGCAUGCAAUAUUAUUGCCCCAAGCCUUGGAUGUACAUCUAUAGGACUAACAAAGAUGGGAUCAAAGGGUUAACUAGAGCGAUAGAACUAGAUGCACAGACCUGAUGGCGUAAGAUAUGCCAGACUUGCGGUCCCCUGAAACUUCCUCCUUGAUGUGACAAACGGAAAACUAGACUAGGCUGGCUGACUGUGGCUCGUCUGAAAAAAAAGCAAGCUAUACCUUUUUGCAGAAAAAUCAAAUGUUCUUGGCCAUGGUCCAAGAUUGUUAUGCAAUGAAAAUUGUGUAUAAAUGUCUGAUGCUCUCUCAGUAAAGUUGCAACAGCUGACCACA
Molecule: small RNA, 1650 nt
Filed under: Rattus norvegicus (Norway rat)
Lineage: Eukaryota; Metazoa; Chordata; Mammalia; Rodentia; Muridae
Description: uncharacterized LOC108351663
Source: RNAcentral